Long non-coding RNA from Centruroides sculpturatus (bark scorpion), 351 nucleotides. RefSeq lists it as uncharacterized. The record is from RefSeq and is a predicted model, not a curated record. The transcript is spliced from 3 exons. NCBI's taxonomy places the organism in Eukaryota, Metazoa, Arthropoda, Arachnida, Scorpiones, Buthidae.
CGAAACAAUUAACGUGAUAGAUUAGGUAUAUAUACCAAAUGUUAUCCGGCUAAACCUUCUCUUAUUAACAAGUGGGAUCACUCGUUCGGUGUGAUAAACUUUUCUAAUUUUAUACGAAAAUGGCCGUUUUCAAAUGUUUCUGCUUUCUGUUUUUAUUCAGCUUAGUUUGGGGUGGUUUCUAUCCGAAAGCCGAGAGCGGAGAGUUUUACGUGUGCGGACAAGAUGGUAAUAAAGUGGACUGUCAAGAGAUCUGCAGUAGCCAGGGGGCAAUAUUUGGUUACUGUCAUUGGUUCAAGUGUUUCUGUGAAUAAUAUUUUUGUUAGUUGAAAAAUAAAAAAUAUAUAAAAUUGU